GAGCGGGGAUGAAUGCACAUUUGCUUCUGACACCUCUUAUGUUAGCGGUCAUUUCCGGGCCGCAAUGAUUCCAAAAAUGUGAUCUGAGCUC
This 91-nucleotide small nucleolar RNA is filed under the name Necator americanus (New World hookworm). RNAcentral describes it as "Small nucleolar RNA sn2903". It matches the Rfam family "Small nucleolar RNA sn2903". Lineage: Eukaryota; Metazoa; Nematoda; Chromadorea; Rhabditida; Ancylostomatidae. The record is from Rfam by way of RNAcentral.